UGUAUACUUAUGUAUAUCUGAACGAAAAUGAUUCAUAACCGACAACACGAAACUGAAUGAUAUGAUUCAACAAAUGCUACCACACAUUUGUGUGUACAGAAGUCCAAGUAGCAACCAUUCCACCAAUUGAAUAAAACAUGAUUGCACUUGAUAUUUUUUUUUUUCUUGCAAUGCGAUAUAAAGUAUGUUUGUAUACAAGUACUAUAGAGGAAUUUUUGCGUGUUCCAAACACGAGAUAACAAUAAUUAUUGAUCUUGACAUUGCGAUGAUAGAGAAUGCGAAAAAAAUGAAGGCCUAGAGAAUGUUGUUUUGUCUCUGUGAGAAGUUAUUAGCCUCAAAAGAACGGGUCAAUUAACUUCCCUUUAAUAGGAGAAUUCACACCCUUCGAGUCCAAAAUUCAUACAAAAAAAGGAUUUAACUCGACUUGGAAAUAAUUAAUUUAUCUUAUCUUUUGGAAUUUCUUUUGAAAUUGAUUUACCUUUCAAUAAAGAAACAAAAUUUGAUAUAACAAAACUGUCGGAAUUUUUUUUUCAAAUCAUCUUCAAAAUUGCAAUUCCUGUUUAGGUAAUGUAGAAAUUAAAAUGAUCCUAAACAAGUGGCAUGGACCAGUCCCCGGAAAACUUGUCGCUCACCACAAUUAAAAGCUUGCUACCUCACAGCACACGCAACAUAGGGAGAGCAGCCCAGUGCCCGAAGGCUGUUCUUUAUCCACUUUGUCAUUGAGGAAUGAGAUUUUGAUUCUGUGAGCUUUUUUAUGCCACAGAAUAAUUCACUCCCGAAAGAGAGGCUUCUAUUCCUAGCAGAAGUAUUAUGUGGUAUACCCAGCUUUGUCGCAUGUUCUCCUGACCUGUGCACACCGCAAGAAUCCUGCCUUUGUCUUUUCAGGAUCUGGAGAGCAAAUCAUUUGAUCUCAAUAUAUUAUAGGUUGGCCAGAUUUUCAAUGAUGACAAUCUUCUGAAACC
Molecule: long non-coding RNA, 962 nt
Organism: Episyrphus balteatus (marmalade hoverfly)
Lineage: Eukaryota; Metazoa; Arthropoda; Insecta; Diptera; Syrphidae
Exons: 2
Source: RefSeq, a predicted model, not a curated record